UUGAGUCGAUCGGAAGAGAAUUAACGAAAGUUAUGCCUACUUUGUUUAGGUUAUCGGGUAUAAAAAAUUUAGGGUAUUACAAGUAAACGGAAAGAGUCGAGACCAUCCUCGAUAUCGUUAAAGCAGAGAAACGCAGUCUCAGUUAAAAAAUCGAUACAAGGGCUCUUUUCGCGCCUUUGAUCAAAGAGAACACAGAUCGUAAAUACUCUGAAUCAGCUUUACGAGCGACCUGAUGUGGGCAUUAUCUAAGUAAAAUAUGCUGAUUUCACAAUACCAGUACCUGUAUAAAAUGAGAAACAAGAUGUUUUUACUAGUAGGAUAUUACGGUACAGGUAUUUCAAGUGAUCCUGACCCAUCAUCUUUAUAUUUUGAUGUUACAACUUUCAAGUAAAAUCUAUUAUUAUUGCGUACAGACAAUGCUAUUUGUGCUUCUAUAAUGAGUUCGAGAGUUGAAGAAUUGUAAAUAGACUUAAAGAAACAAACUCUGAACUUCUAAUUAUUCUUCCGUGUGUUUCCUGGGAUAAAGCUUCAAAUUUUAAUAAAUUUUCGAAGAUAAAAAGCAUUUAUAGUGUAAAAAUAUAACUUUUUUUUUAUAAAAC
This is a long non-coding RNA of Centruroides sculpturatus (bark scorpion), 599 nucleotides long. RefSeq lists it as uncharacterized. The record is from RefSeq and is a predicted model, not a curated record. The transcript is spliced from 5 exons. Lineage: Eukaryota; Metazoa; Arthropoda; Arachnida; Scorpiones; Buthidae.